Molecule: transfer RNA, 71 nt
Filed under: Loxodonta africana (African savanna elephant)
Lineage: Eukaryota; Metazoa; Chordata; Mammalia; Proboscidea; Elephantidae
Rfam family: tRNA
About the family: Transfer RNA (tRNA) molecules are approximately 80 nucleotides in length. Their secondary structure includes four short double-helical elements and three loops (D, anti-codon, and T loops).
Source: Rfam by way of RNAcentral
GCAUUGAUGAUUCAGUUGUUGAAUGCUCGCCUUCCAUGCCGGAGACCUGGGUUCAAUCCCCAGCCAGUGCA